This 799-nucleotide ribosomal RNA is filed under the name uncultured crenarchaeote. RNAcentral describes it as "bacterial SSU rRNA". It matches the Rfam family "Archaeal small subunit ribosomal RNA", at positions 52 to 859 of the family's 1478-position model. The record is from RNAcentral. Lineage: Archaea; Thermoproteati; Thermoproteota.
UGCGAGUCAACGUAGCAAUACGUGGCAUACGGCUCAGUAACACGUAGUCAACAUGCCCAGGGGACGUGGAUAACCUCGGGAAACUGAGGAUAAACCACGAUAGGUCAUAAUAUCUGGAAUGAUUUAUGGCUAAAACCUACAUGGCCCCUGGAUUGGACUGCGGCCGAUCAGGCUGUUGGUGAGGUAAUGGCCCACCAAACCUAAAACCGGUACGGGCUCUGAGAGGAGAAGCCCGGAGAUGGGCACUGAGACAAGGGCCCAGGCCCUAUGGGGCGCAGCAGGCGCGAAAACUCUGCAAUAAGCGAAAGCUUGACAGGGUUAUUCUGAGUGAUUUCCGCUAAGGAAAUCUUUUGGCACCUCUAAAAAUGGUGCAGAAUAAGGGGUGGGCAAGCCUGGUGUCAGCCGCCGCGGUAAUACCAGCACCCCGAGUGGUCGGGACGAUUAUUGGGCCUAAAGCAUCCGUAGCCGGUUCUACAAGUCUUCCGUUAAAUCCAUCUGCUUAACAGAUGGGCUGCGGAGGAUACUAUGGAGCUAGGAGGCGGGAGAGGCAAGCGGUACUUAGUGGGUAGGGGUAAAAUCCGUUGAUCCACUGAAGACCACCAGUGGCGAAGGCGGCUUGCCAGAACGCGCUCGACGGUGAGGGAUGAAAGCUGGGGGAGCAAACCGGAUUAGAUACCCGGGUAGUCCCAGCUGUAAACGAUGCAGACUCGGUGAUGAAUAGGCUUCGUGCCUUUUCAGUGCCGCAGGGAAGCCGUUAAGUCUGCCGCCUGGGGAGUACGGUCGCAAGACUGAAACUUAA